Molecule: transfer RNA, 74 nt
Filed under: Methanomethylovorans hollandica DSM 15978
Lineage: Archaea; Methanobacteriati; Methanobacteriota; Methanomicrobia; Methanosarcinales; Methanosarcinaceae
Also listed under: 1 other name
Description: tRNA-Trp (CCA) (tRNA-Trp-CCA-1-1)
Rfam family: tRNA
About the family: Transfer RNA (tRNA) molecules are approximately 80 nucleotides in length.
Source: RNAcentral
GGGGUUGUGGCCUAGCCCGGCAUGGCGACGGGCUCCAGACCCGUCGAUCGUGAGUUCAAAUCUCACCAACCCCA